Molecule: small nuclear RNA, 107 nt
Organism: Suncus etruscus (white-toothed pygmy shrew)
Lineage: Eukaryota; Metazoa; Chordata; Mammalia; Eulipotyphla; Soricidae
Source: RefSeq, a predicted model, not a curated record
GUGCUCACUUCAGCAGCAGAUAAACUAAAAUUAGAAUUAUACAGAGAAGAUCUACAUGACCUUUGCACAAGGAUGACAUGCAAAGUUGUGAAACAUUCCAUAUGUUU